Molecule: ribosomal RNA, 479 nt
Filed under: uncultured bacterium
Lineage: Bacteria
Description: bacterial SSU rRNA
Rfam family: Bacterial small subunit ribosomal RNA
Source: RNAcentral
GAGUUUGAUCAUGGCUCAGAACGAACGCUGGCGGCAUGCCUAACACAUGCAAGUCGAACGAGACCGCCGUCUUCGGAUGGCGUGUCUAGUGGCGCACGGGUGCGUAACGCGUGGGAAUCUGCCCUUGGGUCUGGAAUAACAGUUAGAGAUGACUGCUAAUACCGGAUGAUGACUUCGGUCCAAAGAUUUAUCGCCCAGGGAUGAGCCCGCGUAGGAUUAGCUUGUUGGUGAGGUAAAAGCUCACCAAGGCGACGAUCCUUAGCUGGUCUGAGAGGAUGAUCAGCCACACUGGGACUGAGACACGGCCCAGACUCCUACGGGAGGCAGCAGUGGGGAAUAUUGGACAAUGGGCGAAAGCCUGAUCCAGCAAUGCCGCGUGAGUGAUGAAGGCCUUAGGGUUGUAAAGCUCUUUUACCCGGGAUGAUAAUGACAGUACCGGGAGAAUAAGCCCCGGCUAACUCCGUGCCAGCCGCCGCGGU